Molecule: ribosomal RNA, 275 nt
Filed under: uncultured bacterium
Lineage: Bacteria
Description: partial 16S ribosomal RNA
Rfam family: Bacterial small subunit ribosomal RNA
Source: RNAcentral
GCGUGAGUGAUGACGGCCUUCGGGUUGUAAAGCUCUUUUGUCCGGGAAGAUAAUGACUGUACCGGAAGAAUAAGCCCCGGCAAACUUCGUGCCAGCAGCCGCGGUAAUACGAAGGGGGCUAGCGUUGUUCGGAUUUACUGGGCGUAAAGCGCACGUAGGCGGCUUGUUAAGUCAGAGGUGAAAGCCUGGAGCUCAACUCCAGAACUGCCUUUGAUACUGGCAAGCUCGAGUAUGGUAGAGGUUGGUGGAACUCCGAGUGUAGAGGUGAAAUUCGU